Non-coding RNA from Delphinapterus leucas (beluga whale), 2746 nucleotides. Lineage: Eukaryota; Metazoa; Chordata; Mammalia; Artiodactyla; Monodontidae. The record is from RefSeq and is a predicted model, not a curated record.
UCUUCUUGCUGUUCCGGGCUAUCCCCGGAGUGGAAGUGGUGGCCACAAUUGGAAUUUGAGCCGCCAUUCCUACCCCGAGUCUUCCUCCUACCCCCUCCCCACUUGGUCCCAGUGCAGGCCCUGGAACUUCCGGCCCGCCGUUACUUCCGUCUUAAUGCUUUUGAAAACCCGGCCUGGACUCCGAAAGCUUUCGUUGACUUCUCUCGGCCAAAUGUAAAAGGCGGAGCUCGGAGCUGUCUCUUCCUUCCGGGCGGGAGGGCGUCUGGCGGGCGGAGUGCUGCUGUUCACGAGCUCGGACCCGGGCACGUGCUUGGACGUCCCCAGGGAUUGAGGAUUAGAACAUCCCGUGAUCUUUUUAAAACAACUGGAUUUUUAAAAAGUUAAUCACCACGUUGUCUCUUCUCACGUUAAGUCAGAAGAUUGAUCGCUUUUGAUGUCUCUAAGUGUAAAGUUAAAGCUCCCAGGAUCCACACCUUAGAUCCACGCCACAACUGUCACAUGUUCAGAAGUGACACAGCUUCUCAAAACCACGCAAGGUAUGCAGGACGACUGGCCGAACUGAGUGGUGGAUAGAUCAAGGCCCUGCAGCUCCCCACUGUUGGAAGCAGCCGUCUAACAGGGCAAGUGUUUGUUACCAGAUCUGGAGCACAGUGGUUCAUGAUUCCUCGAUUAAAGUGUUUACUGAACACCCACCAUGUGCCUGGUGGUGGGCUGGGGACUAAGGAAAUGAACAAGCCUGAUCCCACCAGGUCCUCAAGUGGCUCUAGUCUGAAGCGUCAGAACACGUCUGACCAUCUCCUGGCUCAAGUUCAACAAGAAGAGUGACUCCCCAGGAGAGACUCCAUCAAUGAAGGAGGAGCUGUGUUGAUGAACCCAACCAAGAAGUGGAUGAAAAGAAUGGGGAAAACGGGCAGUCAAGGGAUUACUGGAAUCAAAGAACAUGGUGAUGUAAAUGGUGAGGGCUGGGAAUUCCUUCAACCCAAAUAAGGUAAUAAAAGGUGGGAAAAGUUAGGAGAAAAAUUAGGGUAAGAGGUGUGUUAAAUGUGUGGUUUCUUGUGUUGGGGAGCCAGGGCAGCGGAGAGGGUGACGGUUCUUACAGUUCAGUGUUUGCUGUUCACUUGAUUUCACCUGUUGCCAGGCCUGCGGGUGACCUCCAGCCACCCCUGCACCCUGCACCCCUACAUGUGGGCCUCAGAGGUUCACAGGACCAACCACGUAAUUUAUGGGGCCCAGUGCAAAAUGAAAAUGCAGAGCCCCUUGUUCAAAAUGUAUUCAGAAUUCCGUGGGGAAACGGGGAGAUGUUGAUCAAAGGGUACAGACAUUCAGUUAUAAGAUGACUAUGUUGCUGAGAUCUAAGGUACAGCCUGGUGACUGUAGUUAACAAUAUUGAAUUAUACACUUGAGAGUUGCUGUGACAGUAGAGCUUUAAUGUUCUCACCGUAACAACAACAAGAAAAUGGCAAUUAUGUGAGGUGAAGGGUGUGUAAACUAACCUUCCUGUGGUAAGAAUUUUGUAAUAUAUAAUGUAUAUAUAUGUGUAUCAGGUCAUCAUAUUGUAUACCUUAAACGUACGCAGUGUUGUAUGUCAAUUAUAUCUUGACAAAGCUGAAAAAAAAGUAACUGUGGUGGGAAUAAUGAACCAAAUCAUAUAAAGGUUGAUGUGGUAAUAACAUCAAAUCUGAUCUUUAAACCUUUAUAUCCAAAUUCCUGCUGGCAAGAAACAUAGUCACCAAAAGGCCAGGCUUUAAAAAGUAUUUAAAAUGUCCAGGCAAGGGAGAAAGUAUUUAUGUCUGGACUUAACAGAGUGAGUGAACAUUUUCUUCGAAUCCAUUGAAUGAGGGGAUUUACUCAACAUAAAAAAAAGAAAAAGAAAAAGAAUUUCAACAUAAGAAGAGCAGAGCAUUCAUUCACAAGCUGCAGGAACAUGAAGCAGACCCUUGCGGUUCAAUUUCUCAAAAGGAUAACCUCCCCUUGCCCGUUUGAGGGAGGUGGUGUAGGAUGGAGAUAUUUAAGAGGGGAAUCAACCUGGUGGUCCCUCUGGCCUGGAGGCAGUCCCCCCAUCCCCUCACCCUUGGUUUUGAGGCCACCUAAGAGGUGCCUGCUGGGUUCUGGGUGAGCCCUCUCUCCUCUCAGCAGCCUCUCUCUGAACUUCCUUAAAUCAAUUCUCUCUCCUUCCUCUUUUUAAAAAAAUGUAUUCAAAUUUCUCAUCCAUUGUUGUCUUUAAUGUUCUCUGUCCUCAUGGGUGAACGUAUUCCUCGUUUAUUUACUAUAAUUUAGUGGGAUUUUAGGGGGAGCGGAGUUCAGUGCCUGAGACUGGUCUGCCACUUAGGGCCUUGAAGAGCAAUCCACCAAGAGGGGACAACAGCAAGCUCCUAAGGGGCUUUUGGUGAUGUGUUGAAUCUCUCUGCCGCGCCAGCUCUGGAGCCAGGCUGCGGGGCUCCUAUCCCAGCCCUCCAGUCAGCUGCCGCAUGACCUGCGCAUGUUACUGCUUCCGUUAUGCCUUAGUUUUCUUACCGAUGCAACAGGGCUAUUACAAUAGUACUACUGAUGCUGAAAGCUUGGCCUUUGUGCACGGGUGCUGAAUCAAGUCUCGGAGACAGUUUUAGGUGAAGUAGAAAAGAAUAGCUUUAUUGCUUUGCCAGGCGAAGGCGGAUGUAGCAGGCUCCUGCCUCUCAAAAUUGUGUGCCCCCAACCUGGGAGGAUUUGAUGAGAAGUCUUAUAGCAAUGGUUCAAGGGUGGAGUUGCU